Molecule: long non-coding RNA, 1821 nt
Organism: Bombyx mori (domestic silkworm)
Lineage: Eukaryota; Metazoa; Arthropoda; Insecta; Lepidoptera; Bombycidae
Exons: 2
Source: RefSeq, a predicted model, not a curated record
UCAUCAUCUGUUAACGAACUAAAUUGUGAAAACACUUUCUGGUAGUUACAAGGCAUUAACUUUGCAUGGAAUAUGAAAAUUUUUGGGUGUUACCUGGUGGUCGGAGGAUAUUUUUCGAGCAAAUGUAUCAUACAUACAACAUUCUAUUCCAUAAUUACUCGCAUUUUUAUAGCGUUCAUAUUAAUGAAAAAUAUACAAACGUAGUGAAAAGAAAACACUAAUCAAUAAAGAAAUGACUGAUAUUGAAAAUCAAAUUAAUUUCAUUUAAGUAAUUAUUACCAGCCAGACAUAAAUUAUGGUUUAUAGCGGUCAAAUCAAAUCAAAUCAAAUCAAAUCAAAAAUUUUUUAUUCAACAUAAAUGAAAGUACAUACUUGUUGAACGUCAAAAGAACUACCGCCAAUUCACAAGAACUAGCCUCCGUCCUGAGAAGAAUUGGCAAGAAACUCAGCGGGCAUGUUUUUUUUUUUUUUUAAUAAGCAAUUAUUAUUUAUUAAUUUUUUAAUAUUACAUUUUUUUUUUAAAUAUGAGUUUUUUACAAUGAGUAUUAUAACGUAACAAUUACUACAAUAUUGAAAUGCCCGGAGCGAGCAACUCAUUCCCACUUUGUGCAAUCUUCUAGAUAAUCAUUGACUUUAUAGUAAGCUUUAUUGCACAGAUGUUCUUUAACAGUUUUCUUAAACCUAUGUAUAUGUAGGUUCUGAACAUCUUGUGGGAUUUUGUUGUACAGGCGCACAAACACCCGAAUGAAUUUCUUAUCUUAUGUAACCUACUCAUCGGCACAACAAGCUUGUGUUUGUUCCUAGUCAGUAUCGUAAAACAGCAAUUUUGUAGAUAAAGACCUAAUGUAUGUUAUUUGUGUGUAAUUUAAGGAUCUCGUCUGCAAUUUUUUUAGUAAAAUUCACAUUAUAUUUCAAUAUUUAUAUUUAUAGUAUAUUAGUGAGUUAUUAUAGAGCUUGCUUUUUAACAUCAUCUGGAGUAGAGAUCAUGCCACCCCACCUGGUGACCCUCGCCCUGGCCAGUGAGUUGGCCCAGCGCACCACCUCCUCGCGCUCCAUCUGAUCCGCCAAUGCACGCAUCGUUGGAUUCGACACGCGCAUCGCUCUCAUGAACUCCUUCAAGAAAAUGUUCCUGAUUUAAAAGUGGUUAGAUUUGCGCAUCUCAUUUUAAUGGUUGCUUUAUAGAAUUCGAUUAAUCGAAAUUUUUUAACUUAAGGAGACCAAGUUAUUGUUUGUUAUGUUUAAACUUUAACAAGUUAACUGAUAUUUAUAAAUAUAAAUUAACAUAAUGUUAAAGUUCACAUUUCUUUUUAUGUAGGUAAUACGUAGGUAGAAAGAAUCUACAUUGAAUGUGUUAUUUAAGAAAAAACUACAAAUAGUAAAAAAACAUACCUUUAAUAAUGCCAAUUCUCGUUUGUGCUCAUUAAUAACGAGCCUCUGUUCAGCCAGUUCUUGCUGGUAAUCAUUCAGCUUCCCCUGCUGAGUGGCUAUCAGUGCUCUAAGCUCACGUACACAAUUAUGUUGGGCUAAUUCAUCUUUUGGUAUCACCAGUCCACAUCCUGCCUCACAAGGUAUUGGUCGUUUAGGAUUAAAUUCACCUGUUCGACAGAUUAAUCUUAUUAGCCAUGUAUUAUCAAACACGGACAUAAUUUCAUAACAGAAACAAAUUAUUUAUGGUUUAUAUUUUUUACAAUUUCGAUUACAAUAAAUAAAAUAAUUUACACAAAUAGACGACUUUUUAAGAAUAAGUUAAUGAAAGUGUGUCUUAUUAGAAAUGGGCCUUAGAAAUGUGUCAAUAAACUAAUCUCACAUAUCAUAAUUGGA